RNAcentral lists this long non-coding RNA (720 nucleotides) under Homo sapiens (human). RNAcentral's name for it is "non-protein coding lnc-TEAD1-1:1". The record is from RNAcentral. Lineage: Eukaryota; Metazoa; Chordata; Mammalia; Primates; Hominidae.
CAGGAGGCCUGGUUCUAGCCCAAGCACAGUCUCCAGCUUAAGGAAUGACCUUAAGCAAGCACUUCUUCCCUCAGGGCAACAUUUAAAAAAAUAAGAAGAUUGGAUUGAUCAACAUUUUACUGCCUGUAUUUCACAGGACAUUCUCCUUUUAAUAUAUUUGCUUGAACCUUCUUGAAAACAGGACUCCAUGGACAAAUAAGGUCUAACACCAGCAAUAUUUACACACCGAAGGCACGAGUAUGGCCAUUUGGGGGGCUGUGAUAUUGUUAUUGAGGAGUUUUCCAGAGAUAACUAGACAAGAGCUAGAAAACAAUGGAAGGAACUUUAGAAGCUCACAGGUGUGGAAAGGGAAGAUCUCAGUUUCAAUGGAGCAUUGGAUCUAUACAAGUCAAGAGGCAAAAAGUGGGCUUUGCUGAAGACUGAUGCUAAAGCUGAAUUCUGGACAAUGAGUAGCAAUGAGCCAUGUAAAGAAAAGGAAGUGAGUAGGUCCUGAGGCAAAACAGAGUUUGCCACGUUUGAGGAACUGUGAGAGAACUGUUGUUCCCAGUGGGAGAACACUAAGAAUGAAAUUGGCUCAAAAUGAGGCUGGAGAUGUAGGCUUAGAUUACAUAGGUUGGCCAGCAUAGGAAUUUUAGAUUUCAUUUUAAAAAUCAAUGGGGAAUCAUUAAAUUGCUUUAAGUUAGAGAGGAGGAAUAGCUGCAGAGCAAAUUUCCAUUUUUU